RNAcentral lists this long non-coding RNA (1624 nucleotides) under Nicotiana benthamiana. Its description in RNAcentral is "long non-coding RNA (NBEN_LNC028365)". The record is from RNAcentral. Lineage: Eukaryota; Viridiplantae; Streptophyta; Magnoliopsida; Solanales; Solanaceae.
UGCAAUUAAUCCCACGUCGACUAAAAUAUGUACAUGGUUUCUCUUUCAAAGCCUAUAUAUACCGCAUGCUCAGCCUCUAUGAACAUCAAUUCGUAGCGUGCAAGCCAUAUUGAGUCUACCUUUGUAGACUUGGAAAGCAUGGAAAUGAAGGUAAUGUCUUCUUCUUUUCUUGUGCUUUUCUUGUUUUGUUGUCCUUUUUUCUUCUUUGUAGGUCAACAGAAAAAGAUAUAUUCUUGUUCAACAAGAUGGUCCACACAUGAAGAAGGCAAUCUUAGGGUGUGAGGGGAUGAGUACUCAUCUUUGCCCGACUAUCGGAGAGAUUACUCUCAAUGUGGCUCGACUAUCAGCGAGACCAACUUAAGGUACAAAGGGACUUAUAUGUCCACCUUAAGAUUGGAAGACUUAUAUGUCCACAGAAUGUGGAUUGACUAUCGGAGAGAUUACUCUCAAAAUGACCCGAUUCUUGGAGAGAUUACUCUAAAUGUAGCCCAAUUCUUGGAGAGAUUACUCUCAAAAUGACCCGAUUCUUGGAGAGAUUACUCUCAAUGGGGCCCAAUUCUUGGAGAGAUUACUCUCAAAAUGGCCCGAUUCUUGGAGAGAUUACUCUCAAUGUGGUCCAAUUCUUGGAGAGAUUACCCCUCCAAAUGGCCCUACUACUAGAGAGAUUACUCUCAAUGUGCAAAGUUAUAGUUAAUUUCAAGGACAAAUCCGCGAGGAGGCCAACUGAAGGUGCAAAGGGACUUAUAUGUCCACCUUAAGAUUGAAAAGUUAUAAAGCUUCAACUCGAAGAUGACAUCGACCUGAACACUUGAAAAACUUCGAAUAUUUAGCGAACUUUGCAGGCUUCAACUCAAAUAUUCGGAGGGCUUAAACAAUUCAACUUUAAGACCGGCGAAUUUGAAGGCUGAAACUUGAAAACCGACGAACUUGAAGAUUUUAACUUUGAGACUUGGAGGGCCUAAAUAUUUCAGCUUGAAGAUCAGCGAAUUUGAAGACUUCAACUUGAAGACCGACAGACUUGAAGACUUCAACUUUGAGACUUGGAGGGCCUAAAUAUUUCAACUUGAAGAUCGGCGAAUUGAAGACUUCAACUUGACCGACGGAGUUGAAGAUUUCAACUUGGGGACUUCAACUUGAUAAGAUCGGCGAAUUUGAAGACUUCAAUUUGAAGACUAACGGACUUGAAGACUUCAACUUUGAGACUUGGAGGGCUUGAAUAUUUCAGCUUCUUUUUUGCUUUACAUUGUUCGACUUUUAUCUAAGUCGCAUAAUUUUCAGCUUUACGUGCUUGUAACAAAUGAUUCAUAUCUUGUCGUGGGAAAGUCUAAAUAAUGAACCGUUUGAUGACUUCAAUAUCUAAAAUAUAGCCAAUAUUCAGAAUCAAAAGCCUUCAGAAUAUUGCCGGAUAAUAUUUUAAAACCAACUUUAGAUUUCACCAUGUUGAAAAUUUUAGAUUUGCGCAGUCUCACCAAAAAAUUUAUGUAUCGGUAUAGAAAUAUUAGAAUUUCAAACCGUUUGAUUUCAAGAAAACUAGACUUCAAUAUCUAGAACAUAUCCAAAAUUUUCAAUCGAACAAUUUCAGAAUUGUCCCAGAUAAUAUUUCGAAAUCAACUUUACAUUGUAC